This 72-nucleotide transfer RNA is filed under the name Corynebacterium sp. RNAcentral describes it as "tRNA-Asn". It matches the Rfam family "tRNA". Rfam says of the family: Transfer RNA (tRNA) molecules are approximately 80 nucleotides in length. The record is from RNAcentral. RNAcentral also lists the same sequence under 2 other names. Lineage: Bacteria; Bacillati; Actinomycetota; Actinomycetes; Mycobacteriales; Corynebacteriaceae.
UCCCUCAUAGCUCAACGGCAGAGCAUCCGACUGUUAAUCGGAAGGUUACUGGUUCGAAUCCAGUUGGGGGAG